RNAcentral lists this antisense RNA (75 nucleotides) under Streptomyces cyaneofuscatus. Its description in RNAcentral is "ASpks TB sRNA". It matches the Rfam family "ASpks TB sRNA". RNAcentral also lists the same sequence under 3 other names. Lineage: Bacteria; Bacillati; Actinomycetota; Actinomycetes; Kitasatosporales; Streptomycetaceae. The record is from RNAcentral.
CUUCAGCGAUCCCAGCCGCAGCGGGCGGUCGGCGGGCCGGUCCUGGCCGUACGUGGCCAGCAGCGCCUGGGCCUC